RNAcentral lists this unclassified non-coding RNA (329 nucleotides) under soil metagenome. RNAcentral describes it as "partial contains 5.8S ribosomal RNA, internal transcribed spacer 2, and large subunit ribosomal RNA". The stretch from base 1 to 120 matches the Rfam family "5.8S ribosomal RNA", at positions 35 to 154 of the family's 154-position model. The record is from RNAcentral.
GAUGAAGAACGCAGCGAAAUGCGAUAAGUAAUGUGAAUUGCAGAAUUCAGUGAAUCAUCGAAUCUUUGAACGCACAUUGCGCCCCUUGGUAUUCCGAGGGGCAUGCCUGUUCGAGCGUCAUUAUAACCCCUCAAGCUCAGCUUGGUAUUGGGGCCUGCCAUCCUGGCAGCCCUUAAAAUCAGUGGCGGCGCCAUCUGGCUCUAAGCGUAGUAAUUCUUCUCGCUAUGGAGUCCUGGUGGAUGCUUGCCAUCAACCCCCAAUUUUUCUAUGGUUGACCUCGGAUCAGGUAGGGAUACCCGCUGAACUUAAGCAUAUCAAUAAGCGGAGGA